Molecule: ribosomal RNA, 253 nt
Filed under: uncultured bacterium
Lineage: Bacteria
Description: partial 16S ribosomal RNA
Rfam family: Bacterial small subunit ribosomal RNA
Source: RNAcentral
GACAGAGGGUGCAAACGUUGUUCGGAAUUACUGGGCGUAAAGCGUGUGUAGGCGGUCUGCUAAGUCGGGUGUGAAAGCCCUGGGCUCAACCCAGGAACUGCGUCCGAUACUGGUUGGCUUGAAUCCGGGAGAGGGAUGUGGAAUUCCAGGUGUAGCGGUGAAAUGCGUAGAUAUCUGGAGGAACACCGGUGGCGAAGGCGACAUCCUGGACCGGUAUUGACGCUGAGGCGCGAAAGCCAGGGGAGCAAACGGG